Molecule: long non-coding RNA, 1144 nt
Filed under: Vulpes vulpes (red fox)
Lineage: Eukaryota; Metazoa; Chordata; Mammalia; Carnivora; Canidae
Description: lncRNA (ENSVVUG00000001041.1)
Source: RNAcentral
GGAGCAGUUGUUAAUUCCAGUCCGGACUCUUCAUCAUUAGAGAAAUGAAAUAUUGGACAAAGCGGUAAAUUUGAAGAAGAAAGAUAGAGAGUAGACUCAUAGACCUUCAGAGCCGGGUGGAGGGCCUGACGGGCACCACUGCCGUCGUAUUAUGAGCAGGUGGCGGGGGCAUGGGUGAUGCAGGCAGCUUGCACCGCCAGGCCCUGGACAGCCCCUGCGGGGAAGCCAGAGUCUCCCUACAUGCAGGCUGGCAAGUUCCCCCAGAUUCGGUGUUCAACCGAACGACUGUCUUGGGCAGACUCUGGACCUUAGCGCAAAAAAGGGGCCUAGGGGACAGCAAUCAAGAAACCGAAAAGCAAAAUGACAAGUUCUUCCUGAUGGAACCACACACGACAAUACCUCAGUGCUUCAGUUUGCACGUCCCGUGGCGCUACGGAAAUACAACACACUCCGGGAAUCCAGAGGAGCUCCCUACGCGACAUACCAGGGUGAUGCCUGCUAUCCCAUGAAUCACGACGGCCUUCAGGUCGGCCUCCCUGUGAGCACCCCUAAGCACCCCAAGUCUCUGUGGCUACGCACAGCAGCCUGGGGUAAAAAUAAGAUUCUCUCCAGGCUGAUGACCUUCCCGUGAAUCAACAGAAUUUCCGACAGUAGCCUCCCUCCACACAAGGUUUUCUCAACACGUGAGCCACUUGUUUUUGAGCUAGAGAGACAUGCUGAAAGCCUCAGGGAAAAAUAGCACUUAAAACAUAAAAACAGCCUUUCUGUUGAGCAAUCCGUCCCUGUUCUCAUGGGAGAGCUGGAGCCAUACGUGUUAACGGCCUCCACUGUGUGCUUGGGUGGAUACCGACGACCCCAAGGACCCCUGAAAGAAACGCAGAUGGACCAAGCCAGGCUUUGCCCUCCCAAGAAACCCAACCCCCUUAAGCCCCAGGAGCCCGAUCUUCCCGGAUGGAAGGAUUUCGGAGGCCCGGACGAAGGGGAGGUGGAAGGUAAAGGUACCGGGAAUGCAGGUGACCAGGAUGUGACUGGGAAGCUGGUCAUUGGUCUUGGGCCUGCGUUCACAUUUCUGCUUUGGGGCUUCGUACGGCUGUUUGACCUCGAGCCACCAGAAGCCCUGGUGUCACCGCUUUCAGAUGCGUAA